CCUUCAGUGAAAACCAGUCGGUUGUGG
RNAcentral lists this non-coding RNA (27 nucleotides) under Bombyx mori (domestic silkworm). Lineage: Eukaryota; Metazoa; Arthropoda; Insecta; Lepidoptera; Bombycidae. The record is from RNAcentral.